RNAcentral lists this ribosomal RNA (424 nucleotides) under uncultured Oscillibacter sp. RNAcentral describes it as "bacterial SSU rRNA". It matches the Rfam family "Bacterial small subunit ribosomal RNA", at positions 355 to 794 of the family's 1533-position model. Lineage: Bacteria; Bacillati; Bacillota; Clostridia; Eubacteriales; Oscillospiraceae. The record is from RNAcentral.
UGGGGAAUAUUGGGCAAUGGACGCAAGUCUGACCCAGCAACGCCGCGUGAAGGAAGAAGGCUUUCGGGUUGUAAACUUCUUUUGUCAGGGAACAGUAGAAGAGGGUACCUGACGAAUAAGCCACGGCUAACUACGUGCCAGCAGCCGCGGUAAUACGUAGGUUGCAAGCGUUGUCCGGAUUUACUGGGUGUAAAGGGCGUGUAGGCGGAGAUGCAAGUUGGGAGUGAAAUCCAUGGGCUUAACCCAUGAACUGCUCUCAAAACUGUAUCCCUUGAGUAUCGGAGAGGCAAGCGGAAUUCCUAGUGUAGCGGUGAAAUGCGUAGAUAUUAGGAGGAACACCAGUGGCGAAGGCGGCUUGCUGGACGACAACUGACGCUGAGGCGCGAAAGCGUGGGGAGCAAACAGGAUUAGAUACCCUGGUAGU